Triplophysa dalaica is the source of this 9197-nucleotide long non-coding RNA. RefSeq lists it as uncharacterized. The transcript has 3 exons. Lineage: Eukaryota; Metazoa; Chordata; Actinopteri; Cypriniformes; Nemacheilidae. The record is from RefSeq and is a predicted model, not a curated record.
AUGGUAAAGUUAAAUUUGAGAUCUUGCACGCGGGCACUAAUAUUUGAUGUAGCCUAACGGUGGAUUUAGCCCUUUUCAUGGAGGAGAGCGGGGACGACACCCAGAUAGCAAACGUCGGGCCCCCUUCCAAACAACGCGAAUUAAUAUCGGCCAGGCAUAGGCGGAUAAUUUAUCCACUUAGUGCUCUACCCAGCUCUCCCUUACAUCGGCUUUAUGUCGCCUCAUUGCGGCAAGCCGAUGCCUCCCUUAUCUAUUUGCGCAUGCACAUUCAUCUUUUUGCAACCCAGCAGAGAGGCGAGGCGGAUGUUUUCAGUGGAUGGCUGCGUGCACGUGAUGAAGGAACGACUCAAACCCGAAGACUCGAGAGAUGAACUAAUCAAUUCUCUUUCCGGCUCUGACUGCAUUGCUUAUGCGUACGGGGCUGUCACGUGAUGAAGGAACGACUCAAACCCGAAGACUCGAGAGGUGUGUCGCUACCCGAUCAGUCCUGGAAACACGAUUUGUUCCGCGCAUGCGCGAAAGUGCGUCUACUUCCGGCCGAAAUAAUUUACGGCAAACACGAUUUGUUCCGCUCAUGCGUGAAACUCCGUCUACUUCUGUUCGAAACAAUUUACGGCAGUUUUAAUAAAAAAGUGAGUGAAAAGUAGUUUUUUUUCUAAUAAUCUUUAUGUUUCUUUUUAUUAUAUUUUUUGAUUCCAAGAAAAUACAAUAUGACAAAAUAUUAUAUGUCAGGAGUGAGAAACUGAUUUUUAUAUAUAAAAAUACUUCUUUAUUUAUAGAAAAACUAUAAACUUAAAAUGAAUAUGUUUAUUAGUGAUUCUCUUAAAACCUUUUUUUGGCAAAAAAUUAUAUGUGGCACAAAUUGUGGCACAAAUUGAUAACCUAAUUAGAUUAUUGAAAUCCUUACAUGGUUGCCCUUGACAAGUAGGAUUUUCAGAAUUCAUCCAAUUUAUUUUUACAUUUGUUCCUUAUUUUCUUUAGUCAUUCACUAAAUCUCAACCUCCCACCCAGCCUCUCUCAGUCACACAAUCAAACAUCUAUUCAUUUACUUAAAUUGCUGAUUAAGGAACAGGGCAUUGCCCUUACUUUUCUAAUAUUUUAACAAAUGUCUGCAUUUAAGAAACACACAGAAAAAGUUAUUUAUGUAUUUAUUACAUUUAUUUACACAUUUGGUUAUUCCAAACAACCACCCAAACCCCACCCACCCACUCAGUCAACCUAACGACGCUCUGAAGGACAGUCAGGAAUCUCUCCUUUUAAGAGAAAUUUCUGAAGUCGUUCAUAAAACACAAACGAAUCCAUAGCGCGGUCAACCAUUUUUGUACUCUCCAACAUCGCCACUAACAGACUGUCGUAAAACAUCUAAGAUAAUGUGAUGCACCCUUACGUGAGAACACAGUAACCAUCAGCGUUUUAGUAUAAUUGAAACUUUUAUUUAUGAAAACAAUAUUAGUUUGGGGGGGGAACCAAACAAAGCGGAACCAAAGAGUAGGUAUCGUUACACCACGUUACCUAGAUGACGGACGCCUUCCUCUUCUCUCAGACAGAGAUUCGGAGACGAAGAUGGCGGUUCGCUUUUUCACUCACUAAUUCUGUGAUUCUGUUUUCCAGGUUAGUAUUCUGUAAAAAUUGUAAGGUUGAGUUUCCUCCUGAAGUGGAUGUCGCGUAUUGAAACUGUGAUGAGUUGGUGAUGGAACUUUUGACGUGUGAAGCUGAGUUAAAAAGCCACGUUAGGCUAUAAUCGCGGGAAGCACAUUUUGUCAACAAUUACGCUAGCGGCCGAAUAAGAGGCGUGUAUAUGGUGACCGUAUGUGUGAAUCUGUGUGCUGGUGUCCUCUCACUCUAAUAACGAUUUGUUUCGGGUUUUUAAGGUAUCCUGACAGACUAUAUAUGCCACUUAAUGUUAAGAUAAGAUGUUAAUGGGGGUAUGUUGUUUAAAACUAAAAGGGGAGUUAUUUCCUAAUGUUAUACGGAAGCAGUUUGGUGACUGUCCUGGGUUUAAAAAAAGGUAUAGUAAGUUAAACAGUUUUCCCUACGUGUAUGGUGAUUCAUGUGUUGACUUUAAAGUCAUUAUUGUAAUUCAUUUACAGCCAAAGAGGGUUUAUGAUUCAUGAUUACAUUAGUAUUAUGGUGGAUUCCUGAGGUAAAAAAAGAAAAGAAAACAAAUAUAUCUAAGUAUAAGACAUGAUUUAUCCUUUUGAUAUUAUUGCACUUUAACAAAAGAGUGAUGUUGAUUUUUGUAAAGACACAAUUAUUUUCUGUGAAUGUGAGUAUGAAAGAUGUUGCUCACUGAUCUGUGGAGAGUAUAGAAAACCUGUAAUGUUUAAAUUGAAAUUAACAAAUGUAUACUGAAACAUGAUUACACUUGGGAAAUGUUUUAUUGUUUUGUAAAAUUGAAAUUUGUAAUAAAGAGACAGAGACAGAGAUUCGGAGACGAAGAUGGCGGUUCGCUUUUUCACUCACUAAUUCUGUGAUUCUGUUUUCCAGAGCUGAGAUAAGUGAACCCCAAGCUAUAAAAGAAAUCAUUUGUUACUCCAGUUACACAUUUGAAACUCGUAACAAUAACAGGAAGUGGCGCCAAUUAGAACGCAUCGAGUCGACUGUCGUGAAAAUGGGAAUUACCGGAAGUAGACGCACUUUCGCGCAUGCGCGGAACAAAUCGUGUUUCCGGGACGGAUCGGGUAGCGACAAGGUGAACUAAUCAAUUCUCUUUCCGGCUCUGACUGCAUUGCUUAUGCGUACGGGGCUGUCACGUGAUGAACGAACGCGUCAGACCCGAAGACUUGUUGUCAGAUGAGGUGAGCUAAUCAUAGACUUAAGACCCAUGUUAACAAUUAAUUUAUCUUUUCUGUUUCUUAUAACAUUAACGUUGUGUAUUGUUUGUAAUGUAAUAAACGUUUGCAUAAGUAGUAGAUGUGUUUGGAAAGUAACCUGUAAUAUUUGAAUUAUAUUUUGCUAAAAUUAACGAUAUGACUCGAAAAAAGAUUCGUUCAUUUUGCUGAACGAGACUCAAAGGUCCGAGUCAGUAAAAUGAUCCGAACUUCCCAUCACUACUGCGUGCGCAUUAGCAUGCCAUUAGCAGACUACGUUAGCUGAGGUAAGGCAUUAAAAUACGUAAUAAUAAAUCAUUUUUCUUCAGUUUUUGUCUUUAUCAGUAAUUUUGUUGAGUAUCAGUGUUGGAUGGAAGUGUGAUUAUAAUCAGUAAGUAUGCUUUUUCUUGUCUCUCUGUUUCAUACAGGUUCCCGGUAUGUUUAGCAACAAUCUUAUACUUUUAGAAAGGUAUGCCACACAUGAUUAGCACUUGUUUAUAACUGUGUGGUCUAGCCAAAAAUAAUAAUUUGACUGCGCUUGUAAAACAGUAAAGGGUUUGGAAAUGGAAGGUGGUAGUGGUUGUUAAAGGGAGUGUGAUGGUGUUUUAUUUUUAGAAUGGAAAGUAAAAGGUUGAAAUCUUUGUAUUGUUUAUAUACCCAUGUUCCACAUACAUUAUUGAUGUCAGUUCUUAGUAAUGGUGCCCUGACACACUUUACCGAGGAUGAGAUGGAAAAGGCAAUACAAACUGUCUCAGGCUGAGCCGAGAUAGACUUGGCGUGCUGUGGAGGCAAAGACCACACUUAAGGUGAGCUGAUUGAACUACAGCAGUUGACUGGUGCUAGGGCAGUGGCGUUUUUGAUACUAAAAUAAAAAAAGCGACACGGAAUUAGCUUUCACUGUUAUGCUGAUGAUACACAACUUUAUAUUUCCUCGAUGCCUCAUGAAACCCAGCAGUUUCAUCGAAUAAAGGAUUGCAUAGUUGACUUAAAAAUGUGGAUGAGUAACAAUUUUUUACUACUAAACUCGGACAAAACAGAAGUGUUACUUACUGGACCGAAAACUGCUAUGCGUAACAACCUGCUUAACGAUUGACGGAUGCUCCAUAAAAUCCUCGUCAUCAGCUAAGAAUCUUGGCGUUGUAUUCGACAGUACUCUGUCAUUUGAAAGCCAUGUCGCCAACACCUGUAAAAUUGCAUUUUUCCAUUUUAAGAAUAUAUCUAAAUUACGUCAUAUGCUGUCACUGUCAGAUGCAGAGAAAUUAAUUCAUGCAUUCAUGACAUCAAGACUAGAUUACUGUAAUGCACUUCUAGGUGGUUGCCCUGCGGGCCUAUUACAAAAACUGCAACUGGUUCAAAACGCGGCAGCUCGAGUUCUUACACAUACAAAAAAGUAUGAGCAUAUAACCCGGUUCUGUCAACCUUGCACUGGUUACCUAUAAAGCAUCGCAUUAACUUUAAGAUCUUGCUUAUUACCUAUAAAGCCCUACAUGGUCUAGCGCUGCAGUAUUUGAAUGAACUUCUAUUGUAUUACAGACCUCCACGUACAUUACGCUCUAAGGGGUCCUGUCAGUUGGUAAUACCUAGAAUUUCAAAAUCAAGUGCAGGUGGUAGAUCCUUUUCUUAUCUAGCGCCUAAACUUUGGAAUAUUCUUCCCUGCACGGUCCGGGAGGCAGACACACUCUGUUAGUUUAAAUCUAGACUAAAGAGUCAUCUUUUUAAUCUUGCAUACACUACACCUCCAUAAUAUUAAUCCUGAGAGGAUUUAGGCUGCAAUAUUUAGAUCAACCGGAACCAGGAACACGUCCAACAACAAAUGAUGUACUUGUUGCAUCAAAGAGUGCAGAACAGUACUCUACUCUCAGCCAGUCUUGUCUCUUUGUUCCAAGGUUACCGAAGGAUGCAGUUCAUGCCCAGACCUGAUGGCAGAGCUGAGAAUGGGAAGCGGUGACCUGACAAGAGCUAAGAGGAUAGAGCUGGAUAAAGGACGCGACAACUUUGUUUUUCCUACAACAUUUCAAAUGAUAUUAGAUUGUUAAUGAUAAUCUUAAAUCCUUAAUUUUUAUAUUUUUAUUAAGCCUUGUUGUGCAAGCACUGUUGAGGGUUUUUUUUCUCGAUGGGAGUUUUGGGUUCCUCACCACCGUUUGCAUAUUGUUUUGCACUAUCUGCCUGGCCGGGGGGGCUGCUUUAGAAUUCAUACUUGUAUUAAAUGUGUCUCAUGUACAGCUGCUUUGUAACAAUGAAAAUUGUAAAAAAGCGCUAUAUAAAUAAAGUUGAGUUGAGUUAAAAACAGGGAUUUGUUACUUUGCAGUUCAACUGUAAAUAAGGCACACUGAAGCUGCUCAGUUCAUCUCACAUUUCAAAGGUGGCAAUAUUUUUCAAUCAAAGACUGCAAUCUAAUUAUUCAAUUCAAUUCAAGUUUAUUUAUAUAGCGCUUUUCACAAUGUGUAUUGUUUCAAAGCAGCUUUACAGGGGCAAACAGGAAAAACAGAUAAGUUAGAACACAGCACAGUGCAUGGUGUUUAUACAACGAGUAUACAAAUGGUGUUUUAUUCUAAUAAAUAAUAUCUAAUUUCUAAAUAAAUAAAUAGAUGAAUGAAUGCAGUCUCCCGGUGAGCAGGCCAACACUGCCCUGCUGUGGCGAGGAACCCAAACUCCAAUGAUUGAUUAAUGGAGAAAAAAACCUCGGGAGAAACCAGGCUCAACGGGGAGGGCCAGAUCCCCUCUGACGUGUCAUAGCUGCAGUCAAACUGCUGACAUGUGAUUUAAGUUUAGCAUUUAAUACCAAAUAUUGUAACUUCAGCAUUAAUAAGACAAAUAGUCAGUCUUUGCUCUUGGUUGGGGAUGUAGUGGUCUGAGCUGGGAUGGUCUGAUGGUCAUAUUUCUCUUGUUGAAUUGAAUUGAAUUACAGGGAGGAGGACCGGCACCUGGGCCCAUGGUGCUCAAACAACAGCCUGCCACUUAACACCUCCAAGACAAAGGAGAUCAUCGUGGACUUCAGGAAGGCGAAAGGAGGCACACACGACCCCAUCCACAUUAAUAGGAUGGCUGUUGAACGUGUUUGCAGUUUUAAGUUCCUGGGGACUAGGGCUGCAACUAACGAUUAUUUUAAUAAUCGAUUAAUCUAUAAAUUAUUUUUUCGAUUAAUCGAUGAAUCUGAUAAAAACAUAAACCAAGAAAAGCAUUCAUUUCCAACCCUUUAUUCAAAAACAGAACUUAAAUCUUUAGAAACUGCACAAACAUGUUGCUCCUUGAACAUCCCUGAGCUGUUAUAAUAAUAAUAAAAUAAAAAUGGACUAACACAAAAAACAUACACAUGUAUGUUUUACAUCUGCCAAAUAUAUAGACUUAUUUUUAAAUAAAGUGCCACCUGAGCUGUCAGAACAAUAAAUAAUUUAUAAAAAAUAAAGAACAAUACAAAUCAGAAAAUUUGACAGGAUUUGUUUUAAUGUCAGAACUUGUUCUCUACACUAAACUGCAGACAGACACCCGCAGAUGCACACACUCGCAGACGCACACACUUUUGCAGACGCACAUACUCACAAUCUCUCACACUGACACACACACACACACUCUCUCUCAAAUUCACUUGAAGCUUAUUCAUUAAAUUAUUACCAUCAUUGUAGUAAGUGCAAGCUUCAUUUAAACACCACAUUUUAACAAAGCUUAAGAUGACCGAGUGCUAUAAAAGAACACACACAAAUAUAUUUGUCAAUAAUAACCUACAUGGGACAAAGCACAGAAUAUACACUGCAAAAAUUGCUUUUCUAACUUAGUAGUUUUGUCCUGUUGUCAGUUCAAAUAUCAAAAAAAUCUUAAAUCAAGAUACAUUUACUAGCCACAUGAAAUAUAAUAAGAAAUGAUGUCUUGUUUUCUGAAAAAAACACCUCAAAUUAAGUGAUUGUUUGCUUUUUUCCCAGAACUGUUUCAUUAUUGAACUCUGCCCCCCACUGAUUCCACUACCCCUCAUAACUAUAACUUUAAUGCUGCUAUUGCAUUGUUUACAUUGCACUACAGGGCUGCCAUGCAUGACUGAACUGUACACACCAGUAAUUCAUGUAUCUGCUCUACCGGACUGUUUACACACACAUAGCAUCAACUUCACUCUAUACUGCUCACUUGCACACCAGGAAUAUUAUACUGAAUGCUCAUUUGCACUAAUGGACUACUCUCAUAACUGCAUUACCUCAUCUACUGCACUGUAACUUUCAUAACUGCAUUACCUCAUCUACUGCACUGUAACUUUCAUAACUGCAUUACCUCAUCUACUGCACUGUAACUUCAAUAACUGCACCAACUUCUCUACUGCACUGUAACUUCAAUAACCGCAUUAACUCAUCUAUUGCACUGUAACUUCAAUAACUGCAUUACCUCAUCUACUGCACUGUAACUUCAAUAACUGCAUUACCUCAUCUACUGCACUGUAACCUUAAUAACUGCAUUAACUCAUCUACUGCACUGUAACUUCAAUAACUGCACUAACUAAUCUACUGCACUGUAAAUGUAUAACUGCAUUACCUCAUCUACUGCACUGUAACUUUCAUAACUGCAUUACCUCAUCUACUGCACUGUAACCUUAAUAACUGCAUUAACUCAUCUACUGCACUGUAACUUCAAUAACCACAGUAACUCAUCUAUUGCACUGUAACUUUAAUAGCUAAUGUCUAUAAUUAAUGCACACUUAAGUCACUUGUACUAUUGUAUAGUCUAAAUUGCUAUCUGUUCAUAACCACCUGUACAUUAAUGUUCACAGUAUAUAGCCUUCUGUUUAUAUUGUUCAUAGUACAUACCUACUGUCAUAGAACAUUCCUUCUGUAAAGUAUUUUCAUAGUACAUGCCCAAUGUAAAGAAUUUUCCUAACAUUGUAUUCUGUAAUUAUUCACACUAUAUCCUGCACUUGCUAAUUGCACUUCUGGUUAGACCUAAACUACAUUUCGUUACACUGUACUUGUAUAUGUGUAAUGACAAUAAAGUUGAAUCUAAUCUAAUAUGUCCUACUGUAAUACAAAAUACAUUUUCCAAAACAAGGGAAUCGUUUGUAUUCAGCAUUUUAUCAUUUAGGUCCAAAAGCAAACAAACCCAGUAAUUGCAGGUAGUUCACAAUCGCAGGGAAAGAUGCUGAGCAGCUCAAUGCUCAGUUGGUAGUUCAGGAGUUUUCAUAUUUUUCUAACGUGGUGAAGGUUUUGUAGAUGGGCAAAUUAACUGCAUAUCUCGUCCUUACCAAAAUGGGAAUGGUCCUUAAACUGGUUAAACAAAAUGUACCGCUCUACAGCAUUUGAUGCAUAUGUCAGAAUGCUGAAGCACUUUCUGGUUAAAGGAAAGAGUCCUAACUGCGGUUUUUCAAUGUCUUUCUCUUUUACAGGCUGCCAAAAAUAAUCCCUCUGUACUCUGGGACUACACUGCUGCUUCUCCUGGAGGUCUUUUUGGUGUAAUUAAAGUAUAUGAAUGUGAAUCAUGUCUGUAGAUUAUAUCAGAGACUGCUACACGCACAAAAUGAAGAUAUUUUUCUAUAUCAGUAGUCUACUUUUUAUGUUGGAUAGUCAAGUAAUCCCAGUGUUGUAAGGUCCAUAGGAGUUCUCAAACACUUUGGAGCCAGGGACCCCUUACAUGGGAGAUUAUUUUUCAAGGACCCCUUGAAAAAUAUAACAGUUGCACCCUUAGAUAGGAUUAAACUAUUUAUUUUGUAUUUCCCAACCUUAAUACUUCAGACCCGUGUAAUAGUGAAAAAUUAAAACACAUUUUACAUUGAAUCAUGUUAAAUACCACCUUCACAUGGUUUCAUUGCAGCAUUUAUACAUAUCCUUUUUUCUUAAGACUUACCAUUAAAAUGGGUGUUACAAUAAUCAACCACAUUUUUUUCAUUUAUAGAUAAUAUUACGGACCCAAUGGCUAUGGAUUGCAGACCACCAGGGUUCCCUGCACCCCAGUUUGAGAACCCCUGCCAUAGACACUUUGAUGGUGGGAUAGCUCCCAGAAUAAUUAGAAAUAGCCAAAGUUUCCCACCAAUCUUUGAAAUUGCACUGCCCUGAUUGUUGCUAAGAGGUCUCUUCUCAAACAGUGAAACUGAUAAUGGACCACGUCAGAAAGCUCAAAUGAUCUCAGACUGGUUUUCUGAAUAUGACAAGGAGCUUACUGCACUUCAAUGGCCUUCAGACUCACCAGAUCACAAUGAAUGUAGCUUUGAUGAAGGAACAAUAAACAUGUCCAGGAUAAAGUGGAAAGGGACACAAAUUAUCUGAAUAUUAUCACAAAAUAUAUGGUCAACUGUAGGGCCUUGCUUUCUGGUGUGUAUUAUACAUGCAUAUGUACAGUACUGUGCAAAAGUCCUAGGCACGUUUUAGUUUUUUCACCCCUACAAAAUGUUUUAAGCCAGUUAUUUAUAUUUUGGUG